GUGAUUCGUUAGAAGAAAUUAUUGAGCUGCAAGGACUCAUUGCUGAUGAGUCACAGUCAACAUCAGCUGCUCAAUCUAUUGUGGCUGAAACAGUGACGACCAAGUUUGUAUUUCCCAAACUAAUAAACCUUGGAUUGUAUAAGGUACCGAGAUUGAAAAGUUUCUACUCUAGGAUGCAUAUCACCCAGUGGCCUUCAUUGAAAAAAAUGGACAUUAUUGGAUGCCCCAAAGUACAUAUAUUUACUCCACAAUGUCCUGAGAGUCAGGUUGGAAUCUCAAACCAACAACCCUUGUUUUGCGUCAACGAGGUAAGCUCACUAGCAGUUUCAUAUUCCAUGUUCAUUACUUGAGAUUACCUAUAAAAUGCUUUUUGAAAAAACUAAUAUUCUCUCCUCUUUUAAUUUUAUGAGAGUCUAGUUCUUACUAAUUUAAAACUUUUUCAUCGAUGUCUAAUAUAUUCAUUGCCAUCCAGGACACUUUCCCUGAAUUAGAAGAACUAACACUGAACACGAAUGAUGUGGUGAAGGAGAUAUGUGAUGGACAGCUCUCAUUGCAGUGUUUCCAAAACCUUAAACUUCUUAACCUCCGAUUCUUUCCUGAGACAUCCACUACUCUUCCAUAUUCCUUCAUUCGUUCGCUACCAAAGCUUCAGAAGCUUGUUAUAAACAAUGCUUCCAUUUCUGAAAUAGUCCGAUCUGAAGGACUUAGCGAAGAGGAAAGGCACACAUCGGUAUUCUAUCAGUUAAAGGACUUAAGGUUGUCUCAACUUCCAGAGUUGACGUUAAAGACUUUUAAACCAUCUUUGCUGUCUUUCAAAAAUCUAACAACACUGGAAGUUUCAAGCUGCCAUGGGUUCAUCAAUUUAAUCGCAUGCUCAACAGCUAAGUGCCUGACGCUACUGGAAAGAUUGAUCAUAGAUGAUUGUGAGAUGAUAGAGGAAAUCAUAGCGUGUGAGGCUGAAGAAAUACAAGGCGGCAUUGUAUUUCCCAAAUUGCAGUAUUUGCAACUAAGUUGUCUUCCAUGUCUAGCAAGCUUUUCCUUGGCCCCUCACUCGUUGGAAUUCCCAGUCUUGCUAAUGGUGAUAGUGACAAAGUGCCCCCAAAUGAGGAAUUUCUGCCAAGGAGAUUUAAGCACACCAAGGCUGGAACAAAUGCACUUAACAAGAGAUGAGGAAGGUGAACUGCAGUGGGAAGGCGACCUUAACACUACCAUAAAACAUAUGUUCGAUGAAAUAGUACAAAUCAUUUAAAGGAUUUAAAUUCAUGUGUUUUUACAUACAUACAUACAUACAUACAUACAUAGUUAAUUGAACAAUUCUUGGUUUGUUAUGACCAUGCACAGAAUGUGCAAAAUUCUGAGCCGACGGAGGUUACUAAUCAGUUGCCCAAGCUGGAAUAAGGAAAUAUGUUUGGGUGCUUAUGCGAAAAGCUCAAUUUCGUUUGAAUUCAAAACAAAUGGUAAUUGACUCCUCUAUUUUCAUCAUGGUUUAACUAAUGCUUUAUAAAGUGACCAUAGAGACGCCCUUUUCAUUAUAGGUUGAGUUGCUCUACUGAAGUACGAGGCAGCAACUUUUGGUAAAAUGUGAAAGGUUAUUUCAGUUUUUGUAAAACUACUGUUUGGACUGUUCCAUUUCACAUUAUACCCUCAAAAUUGAACUUCAAGUGUAUCAUGAAUGGCAUUGGGCUACAAACAUGUAAACUUUUACUAGUAAGGUUGACCCCUGUUUUAAGGAUUUGCCAACUUUUGAUGGUUACCAUAUCAAUGUCAACUUAAAGCUAUCAAGUAUCUUCACAAAUAUUGUUGACACCAUUUUUUGGAUGAAAAAAAAACGGGGUCGACUUGGGUUUUGACAAAAACGAAAAAACGGGAGUCGCCACCAAUCCUUUUUAAUGAGGUGUGAUUGGAUCACCUCAAAAACUAGUUGUUUCUAAUAAACGGUUUAAUUUUAUUAAAACAACGAUUUUGGUCCACGAAAUUCAGAAAACGGGUUCGGGAGUCGGUUACGUACGAGGAAGGAUUAGCACCCUCGUAACGCCCAAAAUUGGUACCUAGUUGAUUAGUUAAUGUCUUGAUGUCGAAAAUUGAUAACUUAAAAGAAUUUUAAAAAAUACGAUCCUUGAUUAAAACGUUAAGAGAAAAUUUUUUUGAGAAAAGAAGCACAUUUCACGUUAAUUGAGAAAUAUACGUCAUAUCCAGUGAGUUAGGAUACAAUGUCUCGAAUUCUCGAUGCGUAAAAAUGCUUGUUUAAAAGACAUUUUAGCUAUCUCGGAUUUAAAAAAGGAGAUCACGACCAGUAAGUUAGGACGCGAUUUUUUUUUUAAUUCCCGAUAUCAUUUAAAACUUGAGUUUAAAAAAAAUCGUGUAAUAAAGUUUAAAAGAAUAUUCAAUUGUUUAAAUCAAAUGAAGAAAUCGCAACCCAAUACGUUAAGGCACAAUUUCUCAAAAUAUUAAACAUUGAAUACUGCAUUUAUUUCGGAAAAAAAAAACCUCGUCUCGAGAAAACAACGUGUCACAUCCAAUGCGUUAGGACACAACGUAUUGAAUUCUCGAUAACGAGCUUUUUAUCAUUUUUAAAAGAGUAAUCUCGAUUAUUUAAAUUCAACGAAGAAAAUCAGAACCCAUUAUGUUAGGGCUCGAUUCUCUCGAAGUUCCAAAUACCGAGUAUUACUCAUAUUUUUAAAUUUUCUUCUUUUUUGAAAUCUAGAUAAAAAUAGGUGUAAUGGAAUAACAAUAAUGAUGAUGUAAUUAAAAUAAUACAAGCAAAGGCUACGAAGUAAAAUAAAUACAGAGACGAACUAAUAUAAUAUACAAUCACAAGCAUAUAAGCAAUAAAAUUAAAACAUUCAUUCUAAAUAAUGAAAAUGUAAAUGAAGAAAUGAACAAAGAAAAUGUAUAAAACUAUAAAAAAAUAAAACAUACAUAUGUGUAUAUACAUAAAAUUAUGGAAAUAUAAAAAAUAUAUGUAUGUACAUAUUUUAAAAUCAUUAUAAAAUAUAUAUAAGUAAACAUAUACAUAUAUACGUAUGUAACUAUCAUAAAAUAUAAAAAGUAUAUAUAUAGAUACAUAUAUAUAUAUGAGUCAUAGAAUAUAAAUAACAUAUAUAAGAUACAUAUUUAAAAUAUGAAGAAUGUAAGUAUAAAUAUAUUUAUGAAAAUAGAAUACAUAUAUAGACAUGUAUAUAGAUGUGUAUAAAAUUACGAAAUAUAAAAUAUAAGGGUAUUAGUAUGUGUAUAUAUAUAUAGACAGAUAGAUAGAUCAUAAAAAAAAUAUGGAUAUUAUAUAUAUAUAACAUGAAAACGCAUAUAUGUAUAUAUAACAAAGAUUCCAAAUAAAAAAUAAAUGAACAACUUAAUAAUAACAGUAAUAAUAUUAUUUUAUAAAAAAGGGAAAUAAACAAUAACAAAAGGACUAAAUUAAACAUUGAAACAAGAUUUGGGGUUUAAAAUUGCAAAUAAAAGGUUCAAGGGCUGGAAUGAAUCACGCACAAAGUGCAAAGGACUGAUCGGACAAUAUGCCCAAGUCCUGAAGGCACAACAUUCGUGCGCUGAUUAAAUUGAAUCAUAAAGAAAUUUCGUGGGGCCAAAUUAAAGAAAAUAAAUAAACAAGCAAAAGGACUAAAUUAAAACAAUCAACAACGAGGAAGGGCCAAGGGCAUAAAUAGCCCACUUCAUGAAAACGCGCGGAUCCCCUCCUACCGGGUCGGGUCGCACGCGGGUCCAGAGGCAGAACGAUGUCGUUUCGACGCCCAUAUGCAGUCACAAAACGGCGCCGUUUCUAUUAUGGUAUUUAAGCCCAAUUUUCUACAAAAAAAAUUUCAGCAACUGUUUGUUUUAAGAAAAAUCCAAAAAAAAAAACCUUUCCUCCUCCCCUCUCAAACAUCCGGCCUUUAGGUCUCCUUAGCGCCGCCAUUGCGCCACCGUGGACGGUGGCCGGCGUUGCGCAAAAGGGGCAUUCUAGUCUCGGUUUUGAGACCCGAUCGAAGGCUUUACUCGCAUAGCCUGAAGAUCAAGAGGCAGGACCCCCUAACUCAAACUUUCGGGGCCGAUUUCAACGACGGGCAGACCCCGACGGCAACGCAACCGAAAGACGAAACGGGUAAGUCCUCCUCUUCCUUUUUAUUUACUAUCUUUAUAUAUAUAUGUAUGUAAACAAAAAGAAAAGAGAACAAAAAAAUAACUUCAAAACUGAAAAGAAAAGAAAAGAAACCUUGAAUCUGUUUUUGUUUCCUUUUUCUCUAUUAAUGCCUUUUUUCUUUACAAAAAUCGAAACCCCCUUUACAAAGGUUUUUCAAUCGGUUUUUGAACCAAAAAUAAUACCCCCCGUUGCUUGUUGUUGUUGUUCUCUUUAUUAUUUACAGGUGAAGCAGGUGGCGAUGGGAUAAGGUGAACGGCGGUGGCAGAAGGCUAGGCUGCAAAAGGCGUACGGUGCUGAGCAAGGCAGGGAACCCUAGGGUUCCUUGAUGCUUGUUUAAUUUUUGUGCCCAAUUGGGCCAAUUUAGAUUUUGGGCAUUGGGCCUUGUGUUUUGGGUUGAAUUUAGCUUGUUAGGCUGGGGUAUUUUGGGUUAAUGGGCCCCGGGAAAAUUUAGGCUUCUACAGCUGCCUCUCUUUGCUCGUUGUCGUGUAACGAGAACAGAGCAAAGACUAAGAAAGACCAAAUUUGCCCAGUCUUGCCGAGUCUUGACUUCUCUUGACGCUUCUCUUCUUCACGUAGCCUCAUUCCAGUCUACUGUGUCUUGUCGUUUCGAUCCACUCCACUGCACCUCAGAAAGAUCUGACUUGUAGCUUCAAUCUUCUUCGCAACAACUUCAGAGAGAGAAGAUCGGUGGUUUUGAUCCGCUCCACUGCAACUUCAUAGAGAUAAGACUGGAUGCGGUCUGCUCUACUGCAACUUUAGAGAGAUAAGAUCUGUGGUUUUGAUCCGCUCCACUACUGCUUAAGGAGGAUAAGAUUGAUUUCUUCAAUCUGCUCCACUGCAACCUCAGGGAGAUAAGAUUGGAUGUGAUCUGCCCUACUGCAACUUCAGAGAGAUAAGAUCUGUGGUUUUAAUCCGCUCCACUGCAACUUCAGGGAGAUAGGAUUGGCUUCUUCAAUCUGUUUAACUGCAAUGUCGGGGAAGUAAGACUCGCCGUCGUAGCUUCAAUGUAUUCCACUACACCGUCAGGGAAAGUAAGAUUCGUCAUUGUGGCCUUGAUCUUUUAAUUGCAAUGUUGGGGAAGCAAGAUUCGCCGUUGUAGCUUCAAUGUAUUCCACUACACCGUCAGGAAAAGUAAGAUUCGCCGUUGUGGCCUCAAUAUUUUAAUUGCAAUGUCGGGGAAGCGAGAUUCGCUGUCGUAGCUUCAAUCUGUUCCGCUGCAUCACCUGGGAAGUAAGAUUUGCCUUUGUGGCUUCAAUCUUUUAAUUGUAAUGUCGGGGAAGCAAGAUUCGCCGUUGCAGCUUCAAUCUAUUCCGCUGCAUCCCCUGGAAAGUAAGAUUCGCCGUUGUGGCUUCAAUCUUUUUAACUGCCGGGGAAGCAAGAUCCGCUGUUGUAGCUUCAAUCUGUUCCACUGCAACGCUAGGAAAGUAAGAUCCGCUGUUGUAGCUUCAAUCUUUUUAAUUGCCGGGGAAGCAAGAUCCGCUGUUGUAGCUUCAAUCUGUUCCACUGCAACGCUAGGAAAGUAAGAUCCGCUGUUGUAGCUUCAAUCUUCUUAAUUGCAAUGUCAGGAAGCGAGAUUCGCUGUCGUAGCUUCAAUCUGUUCCGCUGCAUCACCUGGGAAGUAAGAUUUGCCUUUGUGGCUUCAAUCUUUUAAUUGUAAUGUCGGGGAAGCAAGAUUCACCGUUGUAGCUUCAAUCUGUUCCGCUGCAUCGCCUGGAAAGUAAGAUUCGCCGUUGUGGCUUCAAUCUUUUUAACUACCGGGGAAGCAAGAUCCGCUGUUGUAACUUCAAUCCGUUCCAUUACAACGCUAGGAAAGUAAGAUCCACUGUUGUAGCUUCAAUCUUUUUAAUUGCCGGGGAAGCAAGAUCCGCUGUUGUAGCUUCAAUCUGUUCCACUGCAAUGCUAGGAAAGUAAGAUCCGCUGUUGUAGCUUCAAUCUUUUUAAAUGCAAUGUCAGGGAAGUAAAAUCUGCUGUUGUAGCUUCAAUCUAUUCUGCUGCAUCGCUAGGAAAGUAAGAUCCGCUGUUGUAGCUUCAAUCUUUUUAAAAGCAAUGUCAGGGAAGUAAGAUCCACUAUUGUAGCUUCAAUCUGUUCCACUGCAACACUAGGAAAGUAAGAUCCGCUGUUAUAGCUUCAAUCUUUUUAAUUGCAAUGUCAAGGGAGUAAGAUCCGCUGUUGUAGCUUCAAUUUGUUCCACUGCAACGCUAGGAAAGUAAGAUCCGCUGUUGUAGCUUCAAUCUUCUUAAUUGCAAUGUCAAGAAAGUAAGAUCCGCUGUUGUAGCUUCAAUCUGUUCCACUGCAACGCUAGGAAAGUAAGAUCUGAUGUUGUAGCUUCAAUCUUCUUAAUUGCAAUGUCAGGGAAGUAAGAUCCGCUGUUGUAGCUUCAAUCUGUUCCACUGCAAUGCUAGGAAAGUAAGAUCCGCUAUUGUAGCUUCAAUCUUUUUAAUUGCAAACUAUGGUUUCUUCUAUCUGUUUCGCUGUCAGUACAGGAAUGCAAGAUUUGCUAUCUUCAUUCUGCUCCGCUGUCAGUACAGGAAAACAAGGCUGGUGUCUUCGAUUUACUUCACUGCCAGUACAGGAAGGCAUGAUCUGCUAUCUUCAUUGAUCUGUUCUCUGGUGAACAUGACCUUUAUGUUCUAUUUUAUAAACCUAAUUGUGCCUAGUGAUUAGGAUGACAUGAUCAGAACGAAACAAAUGCUCCUAACUAGAUGUGUAUGAAUGACAUUUGAAUGAAUGCAAAAUGUCAUGAAAAUGAUUCUUUAAUGCUUAGGUUAUCAUCACGCAAAAGCUUAUUAAGGUUAUAUCACUGACGUGCUACAAUGCCUUCUUGCUCAGCUAACAUAUCCAAAGAAACACUUAAUCUGAUUGCCCCCCACUGUGAACGUCAAAGUUCAAUCCACAGGGACAUAAAAUUUGUACCAUCAAUCUCCCACUAUAACCCAAGGGUAGAAAGAUAUGGCUUUUCUCAAUCUUCUCCUAUCGCAAUUCAAGGAUACAAGAUCUAAAUCCUUCUGGUCCCUUACACCAUUCCGAGGGUGUCGUAUCAAAGACUCAUGUGCAAAUGAGGGUUCUCUUCCCCGAGGUAACCUCUUCCUAUUGCCUGAUGAUCAUUGCUUUCUUGUUUAUUCAAGCUUUGUCACCAACAUGGCGUCUUGUCAAUCAACGCAUUUGACAACAAAAAAUCUAAAGAAAGUCUAAAUUUAGACUAUUCCUUCCCAAAUUUCCAACUUUAAAUUUGGUGUGUUAUAAACAAUAGUCAUGCUUUAGGCUCCAAUAUUAUUUAGAAACUUUUCAGAGUAAUAUGCAAAACUUCCUUUGUGAAAGUUUUAUUAGUCCAUUAAUCAUUAUUCUAAUACAACAUGCUUUGCAAAAAGGGUCUUAACAAUGAAUAAGAAUAAAAUUGGUUCUGAGCAUAGCUCGAAAAGAAUAAAUUACCAAAAAUAAUAAAGAAGGAUAAUGAAGAAAUUGAUCGGGAAUGUAUAUCUUGGAAAAGAAAAAGGUAUUCCAAGAACAACAAAUUUAAUAUAGAUAAUAUGAUAAUUGGGUGCCCAGACAUCGCAGCUUGAACUUCUCUGUACGAACUUUCUGAAGACCAUUUUGAGUUGGACAUGUGCUUAGGAGAUCUACAAUGCUCUGUCGAUACCCAAGAUGUCGCCUAUCCUUUCUUGUUGAUUCAGGCACAGCAAGAUCACCACAUGCCCCAAUAUGAUCAAAAUUCGAAUCGCUCUGAUCGCCUCAUGCCCCAUUCUGAACAAAUAUUUGAGCCGCCCUUUUCGGGUUUUCAACUCAAAUCCCCUUUGGCCUAAGGCGCCCUUUUUCGGGUUUUCCCCUUAGCCUCUCCAUUUUUCAUUUUCAUUUUUCAUUUUUCAUUUUUCAUUUUUCAUUUUUCAUUUUUCAUUCUCAUUUUUCAUUUUUCAUUUUUCAUUUUUCAUUCUCAUUUUUCAUUUUUCAUUUUUUUUACUUAGAGUGCUCUUUGCAGGCUUUCACAUUAGUCAUCUCUCCUUCUUUAAACGAAGUAUUUCUUGACUAGAUCUGAGUUUAUAGGACUAGAAAUCUCACUCAGGAUCAACGCUCUUCUGAGGAAUGUCUUCUUUACAACGUAGGGACAUUCCCAGUUUGGCAUUCAUUUCCCUCUGGAAUCCUUUUGGAGAGGAAUGAUCUUUUGACAUCCAACCCUCUCGUGGAAUUCUCUGAGAUGACACUGUUCGUUAUGGGCUCGUAUCAUUUGUUUCCGGUACAUCCAACCCUGAAGAAUAGCUUUUAACCUUUUUCCUAGGUUCAACUGAUCGCAUCGCGAUUGAAUCCAUUCUGCUUCAUCCAAUUCUAGCUCAACUAAUACUCGGAGAGAAAGGAUUUCAAUAGGUAAAACUACCUAAACCCUGCAAACCAAAGAGAAAGGUAUUGCCUCGGUAUAGAUGCUCGACAAGCAAGGAAGACAAAUAGUAAUUUCUCAUGCCAGUCUCUGUCAUUUUCCUUCAAUUUUCGAUGUUAAACUCUAGGCAAUUCAGUGGCGAAUCGUGGAGUCCACUUCUGAGUUGAUUUGAGAACUCAGCUAUCGUGAUAUUGUUUAAGCUCAAUGCAUUCUCCAAUACCCUUUUCUCUGAAAUUUUGUAUCGGAAUACGAUGACUUUUGAUCAUGAAGUAGCCUCUCAAAAUGAAGCAAUGCCCAUUAGAAGUCUUCGAUAAUGGUGAUGUCCAUGCCCCAUUGUGCUCGAAAUUUGAGUCGCCUUUUUUGGGUUUUCAACUCAAAACCACAUUUGGUCACAAAGCGCCCUUUACAGGUUUUCGCUUUGGCCUCUCCUUUUUUCUUUUUUAUUCUGAUUUUUUCAUCCAGAUUUCUCUUUUUCAUUCUUCUUUCUUUUUCUCAUUUUCAUUUUGAUCUUGAUUUUGAUUUUUUUCUUUCUUCUUUUUUUUUGAUUUUUUUCAUUUUCAUUUUCAUUUUCAUUUUGACUUUGACUUUGAUUUUGAUUUUUCUUUUUCUUCCCUUUUUGAUCUGAGCCUUUUGGUGGGCAACUUCGACAGAAAACUUUGGAUCUUCCUCUUUAAUCAGGAUGGACCCAACAACAACUUGAAGAGAUAGAAAUUUGACUUCAAAUGGGCAAAGCUAUGCUGACUCCACGUGAAAGGCAUUGCCCCGGCAAAGAAUUACAUCGUUCAUACUGCAAAUUUCUGACAUCGUGCUGUUGUGCAGAUUUCAUUAUCGGCGUUUAACCCGGGGCAUAUCCUGGUAUGAUCAUACGAAGACAUCUAUGAACCUUAGAGGUCACUCAAUAAGGUGUUGCUUCGUCUUUGCGGUCAAGUUAAUUCUAAUCUUCACCAAGUCCACAAUUCCUUAUGAGGUAGGAUCUGUCUAUCCUCUUAUUCUACCAUCCUCAACAAGUUCGGAGCUAAGCUACGAUCUAUGUCAUUUCCAAAGUCGUGAGAUCCGUCUAAACACAUACCUCUCUCAAGAGGAAAAUCUGAGUCUGUAGCAGUAUCACUCAUGUCAUUGAUAUCUGGGAACUCAUUGUAAGUACAAAAGGAUAUACAAAGAAUAUAUGAAGUUGUACAAUAUGUUUAUGAAUGCAAUAGUGAUUUGGAAGAAAGAAUAAAAGAAUACAAAUAAUCAUUGAUAAGAAAUGAAGAAUAUUGAUUCAAAAAAGAUCGCAAAGAUGCAUUCCAUUAAAAUAAUGACAUUCAGACUGAGCCUAUUUCACAAAAGAGUUCUUAUUGCCUCUAGGCUAAAAGCAACAAGUGUGUUCUGAAUAUUACUCUGAGUAAACUCUAAAUACUACAGGGGUCUCUUCUGCAGUCUAAUUAUUCAGAACACUCUCAAGUUUAGAAGGGCGAACAUCUAAUAAGAUAUCUUCUCCAAUUGUUUCUUCAUAUUCGGCACGGAUGUGAACAUUUCCUAACAUUUCUUCAUUCAUCGCAUUCCCUUCAUUAUCCAUAUGAUUGAGCAGCGGGUUUUCUGUACUGAGUGAAUCCUCAAAUUUAACAAUGCCCAUAUUGAUAAACCUUUCGACCAGCUUUUUAAAGGCAGUGCAUUUUUCUAUAGAAUGCCCUGUAAUUCCCGCAUGAUAGUCACAUCGCGCAUUUGUGUCGUACCAUUUGGGAUACGGAGGUUGUAAAGGCUUCAAGUAGAAAUGGGAGACAACAUGUGCGUCAAAUAAACUAUGAUACAACUCCUGGUACGACAUUGGGAUUGGUGCAAAUUGUGACUUUUCAGUACCUGGUUUCACUCCAGAUUCUUGCUUUAAAGGGCUCUGAUGGCUAGUGGUCUUCGUCUUUGGUUUGCCCACAGUGAUUAGUUUUGAGUGGCCCUUGUUAUAUUCGCCUGCGUUUUCCUUUUUAUUCCCCUUCUUCCUUGGGGCCUUUAUAGUAUCUGGGUACUCUACCCCCAUCUGCUUUAUUUCGGCUAGAUUAGCAAUAGGAUUAGCUAAAUCGUUCCUCAAAUUGGAUCCUAAGCCUGUCAGGCAAUUCACUGGUGUCGAUGUACUAGUCUGAUAAUAUUGGGAUCCGAUAGUAAAGAGUGCCCCUUGUGGGCGCCUAUCUGGCUGGACCUGGACACUUGUCGGAGUACAAUCUAAGGAAUAGACAAGAUCAUCAUUAUUAACCCUAAAGUAAACCACUGGGUCUUGCACUUCUUUUGACUUUCCAGCUAGCAAUCGGUUGAACUGGUUUAUCAUAGUUCUCCGUAAUUCUAGCAUCUGAUCUCUCAUCUCUUUUUGAAAUUUAGUCAUUUGCUCCUGCAUCUGGAUCUACAUUCGCUCUAAUUUUUCCAACCUUCGUUCCAUUUCUCUAGCCUUUGCUUGGAUAUCGUAAUGGUGUUUGGUUGUUUGGUUUUCCAAGUUAGCUGAAAUAAAUUUACUCAUUUAGACUCUUUCAAUGGAUUUUAAUGCAUGUAAUGCAAUGUGAUGCAAAUGCAUGAAAUGAAUGCCUAAAGAGACGUUGAUUCUGAUUCAAUUACAUUUAGAAAACUUUUCUAGAAAGCAAAUUCCCUUACAUAAAACAGAUACAUGUACGGCCUCACCCUCAUACUCCAAGAAACAACAUCGGUCUUUUUCUUCAUCCGCUUGUUUGAGGUAAUCUCGCCAAUAGAUGCCAUUGCUAGCUCCUUUUGAUCUUGGUCGUGAUCCAUCAUCUGCCCAUCUUCAUAAGGCUCGUCUGCUUCUUGGAACGUCGAAGGCUCUUAGACAAUCGCUUUGAAUCCUCAGGCCACGAAGCAGGGUCACGAACUCUUCCAUCGCCCUUCUUGCGUUCUUCAGAAUAUAUUUGGGAAGUUGUAUUAUUUUCCACCUUAUCAAGGAAUUCGUAUUCCAUGACAAGCUUUCUAAUUUAGUAAUCGAACUUGAAUCCAUAUCUCUUUCCUAAGAUGCAAAUGCAAUGUAAUGCAAUCAUAAUCAAAACACAACAAUAGGGGUUAGUACAAAACAUAAGCAAGCACAGAAAACAAAAAGUACCUAAUCAGGUAGAUACUAGGGGUUUGGAGUGGCUCUACCUAGGUUAAGUUCCUAAGUCUACUAUAUGAGGGUUGGUUCUAAAGUCAAGGUACCCGAACCAACAGAUUCCUCGAUCUUCACCCAUUAUAGGCUCAUACAGACAGAGUUCGGUUCAAGGGAAUACAUUUCCCGAUGGCUGCACGGAGAUGAAAAUCUCACGAAAGCAUAGGUACAGAUGUAUUCCGGAAGCGAUCCACUAUCCUGCACGAAGGUGAAAACCUCAAGAAGGACUAGUUUCUCACUCCCACCUAAAAGGUAAUAAUCGAGCGAUAAUGUAAUGCAACAUGCAGAAAUAUAUCAAAAUUCAAACCAAUAGAGCAAAUACAAACUGAAGUAAGGAUAAUCGUAACAAAAACGGACAAACAUACAACAAAAUGACCGUAGAUUUGAACCAAGCUUUCGGGUGACCUCUAGGCAUUUGGUGUGGUUCUACCUAGGGUAGGCUCUUAAGGCUCAUUAUAUGCGGUUCGGUUCUAAAGUAAGGGUACCUGAACCAGCAGAUUCCUCGAUCCUCACCCAUUAUAGGCCCAUACGGACUGAGUUCAGUUCAGGGGGAUACAUUUCCCUAUGGCCAUGCGGAGAUGAAAAUCUCACAAAUACAUAGGUACAGAUGUAUCCCGGAAGCGAUUUACUAUCCCAUGCGGAGGUGAAAACCUCACGAAGGCGUAGUUUUUCAUUCCCACUUAAAAGGGUGUGACCAACGGUCAUACAAUGCAAUGUGCUAAAAUAUACAUCUAAACGCAGUAAUUAUAAACAAAAUUAUAAAGACUGAAAUAAAAACGAAUGAAAUGCAACACAAGGAUCGUGUGAAGUUUUCAAUCUUUGACAAAAGACAAAAAGUAAUCAACACAUGGCUUGACUCUCGUAUUUUUCCCCAGCGGAGUUGCCAAGCUGUUGACACCAUUUUUUGGAUGAAAAAAAACGGGAUCGACUUGGGUUUUGACGAAAACGAAAAAACGGGAGUCGCCACCAAUCCUUUUUAAUGAGGUGUGAUUGGAUCACCUCAAAAAUUGGUUGUUUCUAAUAAACAGUUUAAUUUUAUUAAAACAACGCUUUUGGUCCAUGAAAUUCAGAAAACGAGUUCGGGAGUCGAUUACGUAUGAGGAAGGAUUAACACCCUCAUAACGCCCAAAAUUGGUACCUAGUUGAUUAGUUAAUGUCUUGAUGUCGAAAAUUGAUAACUUAAAAGAAUUUUAAAAAAUACGAUCCUUGAUUAAAACAUUAAGAGAAUUUUUUUGAGAAAAGAAGCACAUUUCACGUUAAUUGAGAAAUAUACGUCAUAUCCAGUGAAUUAGGAUACAAUGUAUCGAAUUCUCGAUGCGUAAAAAUGCUUGUUUAAAAGACAUUUUAGCUAUCUCGGAUUUAAAAAAAAUAGAUCACGACCAGUAAGUUAGGACGCGAUUUUUUUUUAAUUCCCGAUAUCAUUUAAAACUUGAGUUUAAAAAAAUUCGUGUAAUAAAGUUUAAAAGAAUAUUCAAUUGUUUAAAUCAAAUGAAGAAAUCGCAACCCAAUACGUUAAGGCACAAUUUCUCAAAAUAUUAAACAUUGAAUACUGCAUUUAUUUCGGAAAAAAAAACCUCAUCUCGAGAAAACAACGUGUCACAUCCAAUGCGUUAGGACACAACAUAUUGAAUUCUCGAUAACGAGCUUUUUAUCAUUUUUAAAAGAGUAAUCUCGAUUAUUUAAAUUCAACGAAGAAAAUCAGAACCCAAUAUGUUAGGGCUCGAUUCUCUCGAAGUUCCAAAUACCAAGUAUUAUUCAUAUUUUUAAAAUUUCUUCUUUUUUGAAAUCUAGAUAAAAAUAGGUGUAAUGGAAUAACAAUAAUGAUGAUGUAAUUAAAAUAAUACAAGCAAAGGCUACGAAGUAAAAUAAAUACAGAGACGAACUAAUAUAAUAUACAAUCACAAGCAUAUAAGCAAUAAAAUUAAAACAUUCAUUCUAAAUAAUGAAAAUGUAAAUGAAGAAAUGAACAAAGAAAAUGUAUAAAACUAUAAAAAAAUAAAACAUACAUAUAUGUGUAUAUACAUAAAAUUAUGAAAAUAUAAAAAAUAUAUGUAUGUACAUAUUUUAAAAUCAUUAUAAAAUAUAUAUAUAAGUAAACAUAUACAUAUAUACGUAUGUAACUAUCAUAAAAUAUAAAAAGUAUAUAUAUAGAUACAUAUAUAUAUAUGAGUCAUAGAAUAUAAAUAACAUAUAUAAGAUACAUAUUUAAAAUAUGAAGAAUGUAAGUAUAUUUAUAUUUAUGAAAAUAGAAUACAUAUAUAGACAUGUAUAUAGAUAUGUAUAAAAUUACGAAAUAUAAAAUAUAAGGGUAUUAGUAUGUGUAUAUAUAUAUAUAGACAGAUAGAUAGAUCAUAAAAAAAAUAUGGAUAUUAUAUAUAUAUAUAACAUGAAAACGCAUAUAUGUAUAUAUAACAAAGAUUCCAAAUAAAAAAUAAAUGAACAACUUAAUAAUAACAGUAAUAAUAUUAUUUUAUAAAAAAGGGAAAUAAACAAUAACAAAAGGACUAAAUUAAACAUUGAAACAAGAUUUGGGGUUUAAAAUUACAAAUAAAAGGUUCAAGGGCUGGAAUGAAUCACGCACAAAGUGCAAAGGACUGAUCGGACAAUAUGCCCAAGUCCUGAGGCACAACAUUCGUGCGCUGAUUAAAUUGAAUCAUGAAGAAAUUUCGUGGGGCCAAAUUAAAGAAAAUAAAUAAACAAGCAAAAGGACUAAAUUAAAACAAUCAACAACGAGGAAGGGCCAAGGGCAUAAAUAGCCCACUUCAUGAAAACGCGCGGAUCCCCUCCUACCGGGUCGGGUCGCACGCGGGUCCAGAGGCAGAACGACGUCGUUUCGACGCCCAUAUGCAGUCACAAAACGGCGCCGUUUCUAUUAUGGUAUUUAAGCCCAAUUUUCUACAAAAAAAAAAUUUCAGCAGCUGUUUGUUUUAAGAAAAAUCCAAAAAAAAAAAACUUUCCUCCCCUCUCAAACAUCCGGCCUUUAGGUCUCCUUAGCGCCGCCAUUGCGCCACUGUGGACGGUGGCCGGCAUUGCGCAAAAGGGGCGUUCUAGUCCCGGUUUUGAGACCCGAUCGAAGGCUUUACUCGCAUAGCCUGAAGAUCAAGAGGCAGGACCCCCUAACUCAAACUUUCGGGGCCGAUUUCAACGACGGGCAGACCCCGACGGCAGCGCAACCGAAAGACGAAACGGGUAAGUCCUCCUCUUCCUUUUUAUUUACUAUCUUUAUAUAUAUAUGUAUGUAAACAAAAAGAAAAGAGAACAGAAAAAGAACUUCAAAACUGAAAAGAAAAGAAAAGAAACCUUGAAUCUGUAUUUGUUUCUUUUUUCUCUAUUAAUGCCUUUUUUCUUUACAAAAAUCGGAACCCCCUUUACAAAGGUUUUUCAAUCGGUUUUUGAACCAAAAAUAAUACCCCCCAUUGCUUGUUGCUGUUGUUCUCUUUAUUAUUUGCAGGUGAAGCAGGUGGCGAUGGGACAAGGUGAACGGCGGUGGCAGAAGGCUAGGCUGCAGGAGGCGUACGGCGCUGAGCAAGGCAGGGAACCCUAGGGUUCCCUGAUGCUUGUUUAAUUUUUGGGCCCAAUUGGGCCAAUUUAGAUUUUGGGCAUUGGGCCUUGUGUUUUGGGUUGAAUUUAGCUUGUUAGGCUGGGGUAUUUUGGGUUAAUGGGCCCGGGCAAAUUUGGGCUUCUACAAAUAUAAUAUAUAUAUUAUUCCUUAAUGUGGGAUAAAAGUAGGCAGCUAUCUAUUAAUGAUACGGCUGAUUCUGAAAAGACGGCUGAAAUUGAAUCAAUGAGUUGUUGGUAUUUGCCUGAUGGAAGAACAGGGCCUAAUGUUACGUGGAUUCUGAUCAAGUUUUAAUUUUUCAGUUGUGGGCAUGACUGAUUGUUGCCAUUUGGUUGUUGAUCCUCUGAUUUUACGGUUGACUAUCUUGCUUAUACGUUGCUAUUGGUUGGCGGGUCUCAAGUAUGAAUUUCCAAGCCGGCUUUCAUCCAUAAUUAACUAGGUGUUCCAAUCCAUGGAGUUUAUGGUUUAUUAGUGUAACUGUCCAUUUGGUUAUGGAUUGGUUCUUAAGGUGUUUUGAUGCUUUGUAUGUUACAGUGUUUGCUCAACACCCUUUAAUUCUAAGGAAUUUUAUUCGUUGAGGAAAAAAAAAAUGAGGAUUACUCUGAUAUUUUAUGUUUGGGUUUAUGAAGAUUUUUGUAUGUUUAAUGAAAGAAAGCAAAUUAAAUAGAGACGUACAAGAUCACAUCCAUAGAUCAACAAAAGGGUUUAAUAUUUCCAUAAAAUAUUGUCCCAAAAAGGCCUUUUAAUGAGAAUUGAUCAUAUAAACUAAUGAAGGCCAUUGAAAAUAAAGCUUGUAAAAAAUUACAAAAGGAAUUGAUGAGAAUUUGUUGUGAUAAGAGUUUAUGGCCCUGUAGGAGCCUCUCCCCAAAUCGCUAGCAAAUGAAACAAAAGGAUUAAUGCACUUCGAUAAUGGCAGAUUUAUAUUUGUUACGAAAGGUCAAGAGCCCAAGCCAUCUCAUGCCACAGCUUUCCCUUAAAGCAUUCGUGGCUGAGUCUAGUAUUAAUUUUUAUUUGUAUCUUUUAUAUCCGUUUUAUAAUUCAUAUUUGGGAUUUGUAUUAUGCACUUAAUAUUUCAUUAUUUAUUGUCUAUGUUGCUCAUUGUUGCAAAAAGAAGAACCAAACACAAUGCAUGCAUAAACCAUAAAAAAGAGAAAAAAACAACAUAAGCAACUAAUAAUGAAAUAUAUUAAAAUGAAGAAUGGCAAUUGAUUUCAGAAUUACCCCAAUUUCGGUAAAUAUAUUAAAACAUGUGUCUCUAAUCUUUUUCAAUUUUGAUAUUGAAAAAAUUGGUAUUUCUAAAAAUAUCAGAGUUAUUCAAUCAUUUUCAUUUUUGAAAGUGAUAAGUCAAAGACAAUUAAUUACAACAUUAAUGUUUUUCAUCAAUUAUACAUAAUUUUCUUGGUAUAAUAAUAAAUUUAGCCCUCAAAGUUGACACAUCCUAUCAAUUUGUUAUUGAUUUAACUAAUUUAACCCACAAUAUUUACACAUUUUGUCAAUUUGAUCAUGAUUUAACAUAUUUAACCCGUAAUAAUUACACAUUCUAUCAACAUUUACACAAAAUAUAUAAUCAUCAAUGAUUAAAUUUAUUUUUCUACUAAUCAAAAUUAUGUAUAAUUAACAGAAACUACUAGCGCUUGAUUAAUUGUUCAUGGUUACUUUCAAAAUUGAUAAGGAUUAAAUUACUCUAUUUCUUUUAGAGUGACCAAUUUGUUCAAUAUCAAAAAGAUAUUUUUUAUUUAUUUUAAUUUCAUAGGUAAGAAAAUCUCAAAAAAGAAAAUCUUUGAAAUAAAAAAAAGUAUGUUUUAUAUAAUUAUUUAAAGUUACUCUCACAUUAUUUUUUACCCAUUCAAAGCUAGCAAGUCUUUUAUGUACAAAUGGUGUAGCUCUGCAAUUUGGAUUAACAUGUUGGUGACCUCCAUGUGAAGUGAAAGAAAAUAGACAAUGUCACACAAUUAUUAUUUUUCCCUCCGUACCCCUAUGCCACCAAAGAAAGUUGAAUUAUCAAGGCACAAAAGCACUAAGGAGUAGGAGCUAGAAAAAGAGGGGCAUGAAAAUAAAAAGAGUCAAAUUAUUAUUUGACGGAAACGUUAAAUUUUGAAAUACAUAUAACAAUCCACGUGUGUUUCAUAUAUAUCUUUUUAAUUUUUAUGAUUUUUUUUGAAAUUUUGAUUUUUGAAUACUAUUAGAAAAUUAUUUGGUACAUUGUUAGUGGAGUUUUUAAACUCCACCAACAAAAUCAAUGGGUUGACAAGUGUCUUACAGAGGUAAAUAAAAUAUUAAAAAAUAAAUAUUUUAAAAAAAAGAUAUAUGUCAAUUUUUUAAAGUUACUUGUGAAAUAAAAAUAAUAUAUUAUCAGCGUACCAAAUACUCACAUUUUUAAUUAAGAUUUAAAAAUAAAAAAUAUAUAGUUACUAAAAUGAAUGGGUUGCAAAUUGAGAAAUUUGAUAUUGAAUAUUAAAAUUUUCUUAAAAAGAAGACAAGAUACAAAAGUUAGUGACUUAUUUGAUUUUAUUUUAAUUUUUAAAUUUAUGCAUUUUAUUAUGAAUUUUUAUUCUUUGUGUACUCUGUAAAAUUUGUCUGAAAUUUCUAAUUUUUAAUUUUUCACAUGAGUUUAAGAUAGAAAAAAUUUACUCUUAGGAUUGGUGAAACAAGGGUUACAAUCGAUACAAGAGUUCAGUUUACGAUAUGUAGAUGAUUUUGUUCUUCGAAAUAUUGUCUACAGGUAGGAUAUCGGAAAUCUAUUAUCAUAGUUUUGUUAAAAGGUCGAGAGUUCUAUUUUGGCCUAAGACUCUAGGAAUUCUAUUAUCGAUAUUCUAAUUAUGAUCAUGAUCUGUAAAAGAUAUGAGUAACAUGUGAUAUGUAAAUGAAGAGUUUUAUGGUAUGAUAAGCCAUAAAUUAAGUGAAAAUGUAAGGAAGUGUAUGAUUAUAUGAAAGACAAAAAUAAUUAAUUUAGUUUAAUGAUCUGUAAAAUUGAAAAGUGAAAUACAUGAAUUAUAUAAGAGAAUGUUCAUGAUCGACAUGCGGUGUGUAAAUGAUAAGGAAAAAAUUAUAUGACCAAAAUAGUAGAAAUGAAUAAUGAAAUUAGUUAAAUACUUUGUAAGUUCAAAAGUAGGUUGCAUUAAAUAAAUAGAUUUAUUAGUCAGAAUAGUAAUCAGUCCGGCAUGCACGCUCUCUUCAGUGAGAAGGUGAUUUAUUUCAUUACUCUUACACUCUUGCAUAAAUCUGUUGAUUUGUCCUUGUUUUUUUUUCUGCCUUCAUUACUUGAGCUAACCUUAUUAUGGGCAUGGAUUAUAUAUAUAUAUGAAUAGGUUGCAGUUCCUAGCUUGGAAAAGCUGAAUAUCUGGGACUUGAAUGUGAAGAUGAUAUUUUAUAAUGACCUAGCACCAGGUUCCUUUAAAAAUCUACGAGAAAUAAUCGUUUGUGGAUGUGGGAGCUUGAAAAAUCUAUUUCCAGUAUGAAUAGCCAAAGAUCUUCCACAACUUGAACUUUUAUGCAUCAGGGGUUGUCGAGUUGAGGAGAUUGUAUCGAAAGGGGAUGGAGUGGAGGAGCAGCCUGUGAGGUUUGAGUUUCCGCAAGUAUCUUUCCUUGAGGUUAGAUGGGUAGCAAAGCUCAAAUGUUUCUAUGAAGGGCAACAUACAAUAGUCUGGCCGAUGUUGAAAAAAUUGGAAACAGAUAGUUCUGCUUUGCUAAAGAUAGUGGCAUGGGAACAUCUUAGAUUAAUCCAAGGAAAUGAGGAGCCAGUUUUGUUGGGUGAAGAGGUAUGUAUAUCAUUACAAAUAUAUUUCAUUUUAUGAUUUAAACCACUGCCACAAGCAUCUCAAGUUGAAAUAUGCCACGAUCAUGCAUUUCUAAUUAUUAUAUUUUGUUUGAUUUUUUUUUUUUGAAUUUUUUGUUACAUUUAUAAUUAUUUUUUCAAUUUUUUUAAAAACAAGACUGAAUAAACAUAAUAGGUAAAUAUUGAGUGAAUGCAGUUCAAUUUGAUAAAAUGUAUAAAUAUUGAGGGUUAAUUUUAUUAUUAUGUAAAAAAAAUACUAAAAAUAAAAAUAAAAAUAUUUUAUCUGUUUUUAAGUAACCAAAAUGAAAAUAUUUUAACACUAAGUGACUAUAUAUGUAAUUUACCCUGCAUUUAAGUAGUGGAUCGAAACUAAAUAGGACCUUUAAUUUGCUAAAAAAAAAUUGCCACUCAAUAAAAAAAUCAAAACUUUAAAAGUUAAUUACACUAGACAUCUCAAACUAUGACCUUCAUUUUAAAUUAGUCCUAAAAUUUAAAACUAUUGAGGUUAUAUCAAUUACGUCUUUCUGUUAUUAAAUUCGUUAAUUUAACCAUCAAAUUAAAUCAGUGUAAUAUUUUAAAACCUUGGUGUUUUAUCUCCACUGUUCUGCUUAUAUUUUUUAUCAUAGAAAAUAAAUAUAUAUAUAUAUAACAAUGGUUGUUUAUCUAUUUUAAUCUAGAUUUGCUACUCUUCUUUCGGCUUUUAUGUUCUGUAAUUUUUAUCAGUUUUAAUUCUCAAUGUAUUGUGUUUUCUUAAAACAAAAAAUUCAUCUAUUCUGGAUUUGUUUGAUUUAAUAUUGAUUUUGUUGGGAUUUAAUCAUCAAAAUCAAACACUAAAAUUGUAAAUUUUUUUUUGUUUGUUUGUUUGUUUAAAGCAUAUACAUCAACAUUGAGCCUAACUUGUUUAUAUUUAAUUGGUUUCCAAGGUCAUUCCCAAAUUAGAGGAACUUGAGUUACUAAAUUUUGGUGAUAUGGACCAAUUUCCACCAAACUUGUUUCAACAUAUUAAAGUUUUUGCAGCGAGUGAUGGCUCUCCAUUUUCUAUAUUUCCUUUCGUCCGAAGAUUCUACAAUCUGGAAAGACUUGAGUUCACUUGUUUAGAUUUCAAACAUGUAGUCCCUUGUAAAGGAGACGCCGGGACUCUCCCACCAAUUAGAAAUCUGGAAUUGUUUUCUGCCAGAAAUCUUAAUCAUAUUUGGAGGAAAGAUUCGGAGCUUGACCAUAUUCUUUCUAAUCUUCAAACACUCACAGUUCAUAGUUGUGAUGAUUGGAUAAAUAUUAGAGUCUUCUCAUCAUCUUUGCAAAAUCUCACAAUUGAAUGUGUCAUUUUGUAAAAUGAUGACAAACUUAGUCACACCCUCAGUACUUAAGAAUCUUGUGCAAUUAACGACAAUAAAGGUAGAAUACCGCACUAAAAUGACAGAAGUAGUGGGAAACGAGGGAGACUGUCAUCAGACAAUAGUUGUUAGUAAAUUGAAAUGUUUACAACUAUGCAAUUUGAAGAGCCUCACAAGCUUUUGUCCACGGUAUUACAGCUUCGAGUUUCCUUGUUUGGAAGAAUUAGUUGUGGAAGAUUGUCCUAAGUUAAAGAUCUUUUCUGAGGGAGUUUUAAGCACCCCACAAUUACAGAGAAUAAAACAGUCGAGUUACCGUGAGAAAUGGAGUUGGACAAGUGACCUUAAUACCACCAUAAAACAGUUAUACACAGAAAAGGUACAAAGUUAAUAAGUUCAUAAUGCUACCUAGAUUCCUCGUGUCCUAAUACAAUUAAUUUUAUUACUACUUCAAUAACCAUUGAAGAGUGUUAAUCGUUACUUUGUUAUUGUCUGCAUUUUCUAUUUAUGAUUGCUAUCUAGUGGAAUAAUAUCAGAUUAAUUUUUAGGAUGGACUCUAUAACCCAUAUGAUUUCAACAUCUCUGACACAUUUCCGGAGUCGAUAGAAAUAUGGACUAGAAACCCUCAAGAAAUUUUGGGCAUCAAAAACCUUAGCAGCCUGCAGUUUAUAAAUGUAGCAGCUUUAAGUACAUAUUUACUCCGUCUAUGCUUUUGGGCCUCAAUCUACUACGAAGGAUAAAAGUGAGAGAAUGCAGUUCAAUGGAACAAGUAGUUAGGGAGGUGGAGGAAGCAAUGACACAUAAAUUUACAUUUCUUUCGCUACGCUCCGUAACAAUUGAGUCGUGUUCCAACUUGACAAAUUUCCAUUUGGGAAGUCAAGCUCUUGAAUUUCCACAGCUGUUGAAAAUCACGAUAGCUGAGUGUCCAAAAAUGACUGCAUUUUCUUCCUCAGUUUCAAGAGAGAGUGGUGAUGCAAGCGAAAACGUGGUUGGCAAAGGGGGCAUCUAUGAUAACACUGCAACUUUUUUCAGCAAUAAGGUAAGUUUGGUAUUCAAUAUUUAUCUGCACAACUUAUUUCACAUUUUCUUUUGAUUUGAUCAACAUGAGUGUGUCUGGUCUACAUAUCCAUACUAGUGCUACACCUUGUCAAAAUUUAAUAUAAUAAAAUCCAUAAAAAUAUUAAUAAAUAAGAUGAUGUUUAAAAAAAAAUUGGAGUUUAAAGUAUAAAUAAAUAUAUAAAAUAAGAAUUGAAGGAAAAACUUAAAGUGAAAUACUAAAAAACAAUAAGAAUUUAAGAGAAGUUUAAAAUUAAAUAGUAAUAGACAAUAAAUAAUAAAAUAAUAAUAGAAAAAAGAAAACUAAUCUUCCUUCAUUUUAAUUUGUGGGUGUAUAAGAAGGAGAUAAUUGUGGAAGACCUUCACAAAGGUCAUUUGAGAUCAAAGGAGAAGAAGCCUGAAAACAAAACGUGAGGAGUUUGAAGAAGAAAGAACCAAAUAUAUAGAGGAGAAUUGAAGUGAGAGAGUGGAUGGGUUUUAUUUAAAGAUUUAUUGCUUUUUUUUUAAUUUCAUAUAUAGAAAAAAUCAUUGAAAGAAAAAAAAGUUUAAUAUAAUUAUUUAAAUUUACUUGUCGGGUUUUUAUAAAAGUAACUCAAUUUUUUGAUUAAUUAUGAAAAUGACUCAAUUUAAAAAUAAUGUACAUAAAUUAUUCGAUUUCUAUAGUGUUUGUCGGUGCCUCCAAACACAAUGGCGGCACCGACCUACCAUCAUCGAUCAAUGAUUGUAUUUUAUUUAAAAAAUAAUAGUUUUUUAGUAGUGUUGUUGGAAAAAUUGGCGAAAUCAGACUGAAGUGUGAUUAUAUAAAAUGUUCAUGGACUUAAUGAAGUAAUUACCCUUUUUUAAUUAGCGGAAAAAGGGAUCUUCCCGUGAAUAUGUGGCACCAAAUUAAAUGAUUUUCAUCUUUUGGUCUAUUUGCAUGUUAGGUCUAUCCCCUUUUGAAAUUAAAUUUAAAUAACCCUUAAGAAAUAUAAGAAUAACAAAAAUAAAUCAUUCUCAUUUAUUUUAUUUUAUUUUAAAAAAAUAAACUUAAAAAAUUAUAUAAAAUUCUUAUUUAAAUUACCCAAAUAUAUCCCUCACACAAUUUCCUCAAGUUUAUCUAAAUUCAAGCAUUUUCAAUUUAUUCCCUAGCAUAUUUAAAUUUAGAUAAACUUAAGGAAAUUUUUUAAGAAAUAUAUUUGGGUAAUUUGAAUUAGAAUUUUAUAUAAUUUUUUAAGUAUUUUUUCAAAAAAAAAAAGGGAGGAAUUGGUUGAAGAACAUCAAGGGAGGAGUCAGAUGUUUUUCUCUGAACUAGAAUUGCUGUGGCUAAAAGACCUUCCCAAACUCACAAGUUUCUGCUUUGAGAAUUGCUUUGAAUUCCAAUGUUUGACAGUUUUGGAACUAACAAAUUGUCCAUUGCUAAAAACAUUCAUCUCUAAAUGUGUACCCGGAGAUGAACCUCAAAUUGGCCAACAUUUACGAGCAAGUAACUUGGAGGUUCAUAACUCAUCUCUCCUCAAUGAAAAGGUAAUUUCUUCAAGGAUCCUCCUUUUAAUUUAUGUUACUUCGAUUGAUUUUAUUCAUUUGAAAUUCUUUCUUUUUCAUACAUAUUUCAGUUAUUAACCUAAUGAAAUGAUUUAUUAGGUUGUUUUCCCUAGUUUGGCGAAGCUGCAGAUUCAAAAUUGUGAUUCGUUAGAAGAAAUUAUUGAGCUGCAAGGACUCAUUGCUGAUGAGUCACAGUCAACAUCAGCUGCUCAAUCUAUUGUGGCUGAAGCAGUGACGACCAAGUUUGUAUUUCCCAAACUACAAAACCUUGGAUUGGAUAAGGUGCCAAGAUUGAAAAGUUUCUACUCUAGGAUGCAUACCACCCAGUGGCCUUCAGUGAAACAAAUGAGCAUUAUUGAAUGCCCCAAAGUACAGAUAUUUACUCGACAAUGUCCUGUGAGUCAGGUUGGAAUCUCAAACCAACAACCCUUGUUUUUCG
Molecule: long non-coding RNA, 23295 nt
Filed under: Gossypium barbadense (sea-island cotton)
Lineage: Eukaryota; Viridiplantae; Streptophyta; Magnoliopsida; Malvales; Malvaceae
Description: long non-coding RNA (GBAR_LNC020367)
Rfam family: Histone 3' UTR stem-loop (bases 17379-17423)
Source: RNAcentral